AGCCUGAUGCAGCGACGCCGCGUGAGGGAUGACGGCCUUCGGGUUGUAAACCUCUUUCGACAGGGACGAAGCGCAAGUGACGGUACCUGUAGAAGAAGCACCGGCCAACUACGUGCCAGCAGCCGCGGUAAUACGUAGGGUGCGAGCGUUGUCCGGAAUUACUGGGCGUAAAGAGCUUGUAGGCGGCUUGUCGCGUCGAUCGUGAAAACUUGGGGCUCAACCCCAAGCUUGCGGUCGAUACGGGCAGGCUUGAGUACUUCAGGGGAGACUGGAAUUCCUGGUGUAGCGGUGAAAUGCGCAGAUAUCAGGAGGAACACCGGUGGCGAAGGCGGGUCUCUGGGAAGUAACUGACGCUGAGAAGCGAAAGCGUGGGUAGCGAACAGGAUUAGAUACCCUGGUAGUCCACGCCGUAAACGGUGGGUUCUAGGUGUGGGUUUCCUUCCACGGGAUCCGUGCCGUAGCUAACGCAUUAAGUACCCCGCCUGGG
Molecule: ribosomal RNA, 487 nt
Filed under: Nocardia sp. HCURB9
Lineage: Bacteria; Bacillati; Actinomycetota; Actinomycetes; Mycobacteriales; Nocardiaceae
Description: bacterial SSU rRNA
Rfam family: Bacterial small subunit ribosomal RNA
Source: RNAcentral